Long non-coding RNA from Zingiber officinale, 272 nucleotides. RefSeq lists it as uncharacterized. The transcript is spliced from 3 exons. The record is from RefSeq and is a predicted model, not a curated record. NCBI's taxonomy places the organism in Eukaryota, Viridiplantae, Streptophyta, Magnoliopsida, Zingiberales, Zingiberaceae.
CUGACUGCAGGUAGCGUUGACCAGAGGACUUUUGAAGACUUAGUCAACACGGGAGCCAUCUCAGCACACCCCCUUCCGAGACGUCGCGACUGCAGUCAACAUUUCAUCCACCUCACCCGACGGUCCGUCUGACUCAGAUAUUCUCAUCUCAUGGGGGAAUACAAAAGCACACAAAGAUAUCUGCUUUAUUGCCUAAGAAGACUAUAAGAAAUGUUGCAUUGAGGUGCCAAUGGAUCACAAUAAAGGCAAGGAAUGGAUGUACUAGGGGAGCA